Molecule: long non-coding RNA, 451 nt
Filed under: Triticum aestivum (bread wheat)
Lineage: Eukaryota; Viridiplantae; Streptophyta; Magnoliopsida; Poales; Poaceae
Description: long non-coding RNA (TAES_LNC019507)
Source: RNAcentral
AAAAUAAAGCUCAGAUGAGAUGAGCAGUCAUGGUGCCUAUGCUUGUGUGUGGGUCGUGCUAUACGGCCAACAAUAUGUAUACUGCUAUCGUCGUGUCUUGGUCAAUGUGUUUUCUCUCUCGAGAAAGGCUGGUGGUGCUUGUACUUGUUCACCUAUUCUCCGUCAAUAAACACAUGUGAUGAUUGUACUUGUUCACCUAUCCGCCGUGAAUAAACACAUGUGAUGAUUGUGCUUGUACUCUUGUCUGUUAUGUUUUCACGUCUCAUACGAGCUGAUGGAAUGCUCUUUGAAAUUUACCUUUCUACUUUCGGCACAACAAACAACUGUCCGACGUACUACUCUUUUACCAUCUUUCGGCGGCAAGUCCCAACUUUCAUGGCUGCCUUUUUUUUAACGUGGUGGCUGCCAAGUUGUUUGCAGAGUUUGCUAAAUUGACUACAUGAAAUGUGUC